Molecule: ribosomal RNA, 497 nt
Filed under: uncultured bacterium
Lineage: Bacteria
Description: partial 16S ribosomal RNA
Rfam family: Bacterial small subunit ribosomal RNA
Source: RNAcentral
GAUGAACGCUGGCGGCGUGCCUAAUACAUGCAAGUCGAGCGAACAGACGAGGAGCUUGCUCCUCUGACGUUAGCGGCGGACGGGUGAGUAACACGUGGAUAACCUACCUAUAAGACUGGGAUAACUUCGGGAAACCGGAGCUAAUACCGGAUAAUAUAUUGAACCGCAUGGUUCAAUAGUGAAAGACGGUUUUGCUGUCACUUAUAGAUGGAUCCGCGCCGCAUUAGCUAGUUGGUAAGGUAACGGCUUACCAAGGCGACGAUGCGUAGCCGACCUGAGAGGGUGAUCGGCCACACUGGAACUGAGACACGGUCCAGCCUCCUACGGGAGGCAGCAGUAGGGAAUCUUCCGCAAUGGGCGAAAGCCUGACGGAGCAACGCCGCGUGAGUGAUGAAGGUCUUCGGAUCGUAAAACUCUGUUAUUAGGGAAGAACAAAUGUGUAAGUAACUAUGCACGUCUUGACGGUACCUAAUCAGAAAGCCACGGCUAACUACGUG